This 1110-nucleotide long non-coding RNA is filed under the name Monodelphis domestica (gray short-tailed opossum). RNAcentral describes it as "lncRNA (ENSMODG00000037921.1)". Lineage: Eukaryota; Metazoa; Chordata; Mammalia; Didelphimorphia; Didelphidae. The record is from RNAcentral.
CUAGCCAGUUGGGUUUAAGUGACUUGUCCAGGAUCACACAGCUAGGAAGUGCCUGAGGCCAAAUUUGAACCCAGGACCUCUCAUCUCCAUGGCUGGCUCUGUAUCCAUUGAGCCAUCUAGCUGCCCCUCUGGUGCAUUUUUUCUGUUUCUUCCCUCCUUUGUUGUUUUCUUCCUUCCUUUGUUCCUUGUUUCCUUGUUUCUUUGUUUCUUUGUUUCUUUGUUUCUUUCCUUCCUUCCUUCCUUCCUUCCUUCCUUCCUUCCUUCCUUCCUUCCUUCCUUCCUUCUUUCUUUCUUUCUUUCUUUCUUUCUCUUUCUUUCUUUCUUUCUUUCUUUCUUUCUUUCUUUCUUUCUCUUCCUUCUUUCUUUCUUUCUUUCUUCAGAAAAUAACCAGGAAAAGUGAGCCUUUCCACUCACUACAUGUCAGUCCAAAAGGAAGAGAUUUAAGAACAGCCUCACCAGGGUCUCAGAUCCAGUCAGCAGAUUCUUCUCCAGUCUCAACUCAAACUCAGAACUCCAAGUAAAACUGCACUAAGGAAGUUGUCACUCCCUUUUAAAGACACUUUAUUUUGCAUCACUUCCUGUGCCUUCCUCCACUUUUACGUCUACCAAUCACAGUUGAAGCUUUGCUUUAGGACUGCCCAAGGGCAGUCAGUUUAAUUCUGAUUCGUUACCCACUUUUGCACACUUGGGUCACAGACCUCCCCUACUCAAAUGUGAAGGGGGUGUUUACACCUUUGGUGAUUAAAUCUAAAACUGGACAUAUCUCCCCACUCAACUUUAAGUAGGGUGUUUACACUUUUGGUGAAAUAGGCAGGGAUUACAAUUUAAUCUUCACAAUCAGAGGAGAGUUAAUUAAUUUCAUUUUCACAAUCAGGAGAGAAUUAAAUUUAAUCUUCACAAAGCCCAGCUCUCCUCCUCAUUUGCUGCAUUACCUUAAGAAGAUGGAAACUUCUCCAUCCCCUAGGAAGUGAGAAGGGGUUGGAAUGGACAGUCCUUGAGGUCUCCAAGAUUCUUGACAGAGAUCAUAAUUGUUCUAGCUCUAAUAUGAAAUGGUUCUAGGCUAGGGAGGGGGACAUCUAAAGCCAUUAUUGGUCCAUACCUUAGUCUGGA